AAUGUGCUAAUGACGUGGAAAGUAGUUAUACAAAUGGCUGAUUAGAGAGGGACGGACAUGGCUGAAAUCCAUCCUGCAGACAGGUAUGAUGAAAAACACCAUCGAAGCUCCAUGCCGAACGAAGAACUUUUCAGUAGGUAUGGACGGAACCGGCCGUUAUCCGGAUUUGAGUGGGCGCAGGAUUUGUCGGCGCCAAUCAGGGUGGAACCGCGGAAGCUAUUAAGGCUCUCGUCCCUUGC
RNAcentral lists this non-coding RNA (239 nucleotides) under Sporosarcina sp. RNAcentral describes it as "T-box sequence". It matches the Rfam family "T-box leader". From Rfam's summary of the family: Uncharged tRNA acts as the effector for transcription antitermination of genes in the T-box leader family. T-boxes are found upstream of many aminoacyl-tRNA synthetase genes and some amino acid biosynthetic genes usually in Gram-positive bacteria. The anticodon of a specific tRNA base pairs to a specifier sequence within the T-box motif, and the NCCA acceptor tail of the tRNA base pairs to a conserved bulge in the T-box antiterminator hairpin. The record is from RNAcentral. Lineage: Bacteria; Bacillati; Bacillota; Bacilli; Caryophanales; Caryophanaceae.